This 499-nucleotide unclassified non-coding RNA is filed under the name Hevea brasiliensis (rubber tree). Lineage: Eukaryota; Viridiplantae; Streptophyta; Magnoliopsida; Malpighiales; Euphorbiaceae. The record is from RNAcentral.
AUGAUCUCCUUUGUUUAUUUAUCACUAAUGCAGAUGCACAUAUGGUGGCAAAGUAGUUCCUUAUAGCUAAUUCACAAAAUAUCAAGUACCAAUGCUUUCUGCUUCCAAGAUUUUGUGUCUCUUUGUGUUUGGUUGUGUGCAUGCAUAUGUGCAUCUUCUUUCAUUGAGGAGCAGCUAGUGCUAUGGUUAGAUUCCAUUUUUAGUGGUUAAUCUUUGGAUGGAUGAUAAAAUGCUCUCCUUGGCUCUGUACUUUGUGUAACAAUUGUUAUUGGAGCUGAUGAAAUGGAAUUUGAAGUGUGGGUAUUGAUGCUUCCCCCUAGAGAUAGUUCCUUUGGCUUCAAUUGAUUGUGCCAGUUUUAUCAUUUUCAUAAAUAUGAAGAUCAAGGAUUUAUUCAGAUGUUAUUUUUGGGGAUUUCUCAAUUGUAAAUCUAACAACUUCAGACUUUAUUUAUAAGUGAGUCAAACCUAUUUCCUGUCUUUUUUUCCUUUUCAAUAAUUU